Molecule: ribosomal RNA, 252 nt
Filed under: uncultured Actinomycetales bacterium
Lineage: Bacteria; Bacillati; Actinomycetota; Actinomycetes; Actinomycetales
Description: partial 16S ribosomal RNA
Rfam family: Bacterial small subunit ribosomal RNA
Source: RNAcentral
CUUGCAGGGUACUCGAGUGGCGAACGGGUGAGUAACACGUGGGUGACCUGCCCUGCACUUCGGGAUAAGCUUGGGAAACUGGGUCUAAUACCGGAUAGGAACCAUCUUUAGUGUGGUGGUUGGAAAGUUUUUUCGGUGUAGGAUGAGCUCGCGGCCUAUCAGCUUGUUGGUGGGGUAAUGGCCUACCAAGGCGGCGACGGGUAGCCGGCCUGAGAGGGUGUACGGCCACAUUGGGACUGAGAUACGGCCCAG